AAUGGAUAUAAUAUCCUUCCUCACUUGCCCUCUGUUUUAGGAUCCUGAAUCUGGUGACCCGCCAAGGAGUGACAUGGGCGAACACACUUGGGUCAGUGGUUCUGUUGUAGAGUGUGUUUGGGGUGGCCAUCGCGAAGACCUGAGGAGCAGAGGAUGACAUCAUCACGGUUGUUGCCGGGACCAUGACAGGCAUGCUGUACAAGUCCACAGAUACCUAUGGACCCUAAGAAUUAUGGUGUGUCUUCCCUGCUCCGCCACUCCUGGGUCAACCCCUCUGCUACGAUGCGCCUACCCCCGCCCAACAGGUGCACCAUAUCUACCUCCCUCUUCAGAGUUGCAUUAUCUGGUGCCUCAUUUCCCCCUACCUAAAGUGCCAUCAACAGCUAUCCGGUUUGGACAUGACUUUGACUUCCCUUCUCUCAGCUGAACCAGGCUAGCAGUAGAGUCUGAACAUAAAAUUACCCUUUUAUGCCCCACUUCUUCCCCCCAUCCCAAUGCCCACACUCGUGCAAGCGUUUCAGCAAAGACAGAAGCUCCACCAGACAGCUGCAUCCCAAACCCUGCUCUCCCACUGCCUCGGUCCCUUGACCCAUCUGUGAAGAUCUGCGAACAGAGACCCCACGCCCGCUGUAGAUGCGCCUCAACCACCACAAGGCAGUCCUCAGCCCUUAUUUCAAAAUAAGAGUCCCUCGCUUUAUCAUGCCAAAAUAAAAUAAAAACAUCGAUUUCCUAUUUUGUAUAUAAUUCUAAUAAUUGAUCACAGUUGUGGUGGUAAAAGGACUGCAUCUUGCUCUAACUGUUGGUUUGAGUUAGGACUAUCAUGGUGGUGUCCAUUAAAACACAGAUGGUGGUUUGCAGUUCAAAGGGCUGAUGCCCAGUUUAUUACUUAAGUUGAAUUGAAGAUAAUGACAAGAUUGAUGAUGUAAGGAUGGAGUGAUUAAGUAGGAAACAAACAAAGAAACACAUGGUAGUGAUUUCAUAUAAACCAUACGCAGAUAUACUAAUACUCAUGAAUAUCUAACAUUAAAAUAAUUUUACAGUGAAGAAACUUAGGCAAUAGGUUUAAACAUGAGUAAAGGAAAUGCAUAAAGCAAACAAACAGCAAAUGUUCUAAAUCAAAUGAUAAUCUAAAUGAAUAAAUAAGAACAAACUUUAUUGGUCCUAAACACAUUCAAAAUACACAAAGGAAAGGAUUACAAGCAAAAAGGUGUUUUGUAACAAAACACUUGCAAAUUGAAAUGGUCAGGUCUACCACACUGUGUGACAGGUCUGGGUAUUUAAAGGUGGUGAAGGAGCUGAGUCCUGUCUCUGUUGGAAGGGGGAUUGGACAGGGGAGGGUGAUAGCGUGAGGGGACUGUCGGUCAGGGUAGGGGUAAUUCGACCACAAUAAUAAAGUACCACAGUAUGAGUGAUAAUGCAUGGUUAUCAAAAUGUCACGCCAGGCCUUGUCAUGACUGUCCUGUGAGGAUCCAGAGGGGUUGGAUCAGCUUUGCAGUGGAUGACAGCCCACACCCUGUUGUAAAUCAAGGAGAGAACAUCCCUCUCCAAAUUCAUACAGGAAUGUGUCUUUGUUACAGACAUUUUCCAGCCGAAAAUCUAACACGUUCUAAAGCGAAUACUGGAACAAUAUUUCUAACAUAGAAAGUGGGGAAUGGUCGAAGGCUAUCUAUAGAAUAAUAUUGUCAUUUUGGUUGUCAUAAAAUGUUAAAAAGGAAAUACUGUAACUUGAAAGGUAUAUACACUACAUUUACGAAGUUUCCAUCCUCUACGUUGUGUAUAAAAUACGAAACAUUAAUGUUUUUGUUAAGAGAGGGAUGUGAUCUUAGAAACUAUAAGAGAAAAUUGUUUCUAUAACUUUGUUCAAGUAGUCACCACCCCCCUGAGUGAGAUCAGAGAGCAUGUCAGCCUCACGAACUGCCCUCUUUUGAACAAACUGUAUAAAACCAUGGGUUAAGAAUUUAAAUUUCAGACCAGAGAGAUGUGUAGCUGCAGCUCACGUCCAAAGUGGUUCGAAUUCAUUCUCAACACGAGGUAGAGAUCUCCCAGACGUAAUUUCCCAGACAAUCACUGGUAUGGAUGAUUAGCUGUUCUAAGUAAAGUAUCUAGAAAAGCUAAAUUAAGUGGGACCAUUCUACUACUCUCUUCAAACCAUCAUAUUUUACUACUCAUCACCCCACUGGGAAUCACAGGCUAGCCAGGUGUGUCAAUCUUCAAAGACUCAUCUUCCAGAGCGAAUGGAAGAAUAACAAUAGAAGACGUGUGGGGAACCCUUUUGGACAAUCAAAGCCUUACAAGCGUGCAGUGAAAAGACCCAACACCCUUUCCAAGGCCUGGCUCCGACAGAAAUAUGAAGAACCAAGACAUUUACAGGUAAAUACAUUCAUGAUUCCUUACUCCAAAUGGGCGGUGAUUUGUGUGUAAAGUAUAUGAUUACUGUGAGAGUAGUGUCUAAAAUGUACCAACAUUAAGUGUCUGUCUCUCUCUCCAUCUCUUAUGUAACAAGCUGCCAUAUUGUGUCAGUCCACUAGGGACCUGUUUCUAUUGUAUUAAGUGUGUAUGUUUAUCCCGUGUUACCAUUUAGUU
Oncorhynchus tshawytscha (Chinook salmon) is the source of this 2583-nucleotide long non-coding RNA. RefSeq lists it as uncharacterized. The transcript is spliced from 3 exons. Lineage: Eukaryota; Metazoa; Chordata; Actinopteri; Salmoniformes; Salmonidae. The record is from RefSeq and is a predicted model, not a curated record.